GAUGAACGCUGGCGGCGUGCCUAAUACAUGCAAGUCGAGCGAACAGAUGAGGAGCUUGCUCCUCUGACGUUAGCGGCGGACGGGUGAGUAACACGUGGAUAACCUACCUAUAAGACUGGGAUAACUUCGGGAAACCGGAGCUAAUACCGUAUAAUAUAUUGAACCGCAUGGUUCAAUAGUGAAAGACGGUUUUGCUGUCACUUAUAGAUGGAUCCGCGCCGCAUUAGCUAGUUGGUAAGGUAACGGGUUACCAAGGCAACGAUGCGUAGCCGACCUGAGAGGGUGAUAGGCCACACUGGAACUGAGACACGGUCCAGACUCCUACGGGAGGCAGCAGUAGGGAAUCUUACGCAAUGGGCGAAAGCCUGACAGAGCAACGCCGCGUGAGUGAUGAAGGUCUUCGGAUCGUAAAACUCUGUUAUUAGGGAAGAACAAAUGUGUAAGUAACUAUGCACGUCUUGACGGUACCUAAUCAGAAAGCCACGGCUAACUACGUG
Molecule: ribosomal RNA, 497 nt
Filed under: uncultured bacterium
Lineage: Bacteria
Description: partial 16S ribosomal RNA
Rfam family: Bacterial small subunit ribosomal RNA
Source: RNAcentral